UCUCAGUUCGGAUCGGAGUCUGNAACCCGACUCCGUGAAGCUGGAUUCGCUAGUAAUCGCGCAUCAGCCAUGGCGCGGUGAAUACGUUCCCGGGCCUUGUACACACCGCCCGUCAAGCCAUGGAAGCCGGGGGCGCUUGAAGUGCGUUGCCGCAAGGCGCGCCCUAGAGCGAAACCGGUGACUGGGGCUAAGUCGUAACAAGGUAAC
This 207-nucleotide ribosomal RNA is filed under the name uncultured bacterium. RNAcentral describes it as "partial 16S ribosomal RNA". It matches the Rfam family "Bacterial small subunit ribosomal RNA", at positions 1286 to 1500 of the family's 1533-position model. The record is from RNAcentral.